GGCGGUGGGGGGGGUGCGGGGCUGAUCCCUCAGCAGGUGCCAGGUUACCUUAGGUUCCCGGUGCAGACAGGUGACCUGGAGCAGGCCACCGUCAGUGUCAGUCUGGGUCUCCACGUACGAAUCAGUGCCCUGGCCAUGGUUUCACCCUUGGACACCCCGGGAAGCUAUUCCCUGCAAAUUGUUUCUCUGACUUCCUGUUCCCAGCUCUUUUCCCUCCCACUUGCUAUUUUUUAAGACAAAAAUGAAACAGUGGGAAAGCCCCAGCCAUCUGGGGUUUCUCAGGACCCCUUUGCCUUCUGUCUGACCUCCCGCUCCUGGGCUGGGGGCCACGGGGCAGCUUCAGCAGAU
RNAcentral lists this long non-coding RNA (348 nucleotides) under Mustela putorius furo (domestic ferret). RNAcentral's name for it is "lncRNA (ENSMPUG00000025026.1)". The record is from RNAcentral. Lineage: Eukaryota; Metazoa; Chordata; Mammalia; Carnivora; Mustelidae.